UACGGGGGGAGCAAGCGUUGUUCGGAUUUACUGGGCGUAAAGGGCGCGUAGGCGGCCUCCGCAAGUCAGUUGUGAAAUCUCCGAGCUUAACUCGGAAAGGUCAACUGAUACUGCGGGGCUAGAGUGCGGAAGGGGCAACUGGAAUUCUUGGUGUAGCAGUGAAAUGCGUAGAUAUCAAGAGGAACACCUGCGGCGAAGGCGGGUUGCUGGGCCGACACUGACGCUGAGGCGCGAAAGCUAGGGGAGCGAACGGG
RNAcentral lists this ribosomal RNA (254 nucleotides) under uncultured bacterium. RNAcentral's name for it is "partial 16S ribosomal RNA". It matches the Rfam family "Bacterial small subunit ribosomal RNA", at positions 524 to 776 of the family's 1533-position model. The record is from RNAcentral.